GAUGAACGCUGGCGGCGUGCCUAAUACAUGCAAGUCGAGCGAAGCGGGGACGGGUGAGUAACACGUGGAUAACCUCCUAUAAGACUGGGGUAAGGUCGGGGAACCGGAGCUCAACAGGAUACUUAUAGCGGUAUCCGAGCUGCAUUAGCUAGUUGGUACGGUAACGGCGUACCAAGGCAACGAUGCAUAGCCGACCUGAGAGGGUGAUCGGCCACACUGGAACUGAGACACGGUCCAGACUCCGACGGGAGGCAGCAGUAGGGAAUCUUCCGCAAUGGGCGAAAGCCUGACGGAGCAACGCCGCGUGAGUGAUGAAGGUCUUCGGAUCGUAAAGCUCUGUUAUUAGGGAAGCGGUACCUAAUCAGUAAGCCACGGCUAACUACGUGCCAGCAGCCGCGGUAAUAC
Molecule: ribosomal RNA, 405 nt
Filed under: uncultured bacterium
Lineage: Bacteria
Description: partial 16S ribosomal RNA
Rfam family: Bacterial small subunit ribosomal RNA
Source: RNAcentral